Molecule: ribosomal RNA, 472 nt
Filed under: uncultured bacterium
Lineage: Bacteria
Description: bacterial SSU rRNA
Rfam family: Bacterial small subunit ribosomal RNA
Source: RNAcentral
AGAGUUUGAUCCUGGCUCAGAACGAACGCUGGCGGCAGGCCUAACACAUGCAAGUCGAACGCCUCAGCAAUGGGGAGUGGCAGACGGGUGAGUAACGCGUGGGAACGUGCCCAUCGGUUUGGGAUAACCCAGGGAAACUUGGGCUAAUACCGGAUACGUGCGGAAGCAGAAAGAUUUAUCGCCGAUGGAUCGGCCCGCGUCUGAUUAGCUAGUUGGUGGGGUAAUGGCUCACCAAGGCGACGAUCAGUAGCUGGUCUGAGAGGAUGAUCAGCCACACUGGGACUGAGACACGGCCCAGACUCCUACGGGAGGCAGCAGUGGGGAAUAUUGGACAAUGGGCGCAAGCCUGAUCCAGCCAUGCCGCGUGAGUGAUGAAGGCCUUAGGGUUGUAAAGCUCUUUUACCCGGGAAGAUAAUGACUGUACCGGGAGAAUAAGCCCCGGCUAACUCCGUGCCAGCAGCGGCGGUAAUAC